GAUGAAGAACGUAGCGAAAUGCGAUAAGUAAUGUGAAUUGCAGAAUUCAGUGAAUCAUCGAAUCUUUGAACGCACAUUGCACCCCCUGGCAUUCCGGGGGGCAUGCCUGUUCGAGCGUCAUUACAACCCUCAAGCUCUGCUUGGUAUUGGGCUCUGCUGGGACCGGCAGGCCUUAAAAUCAGUGGCGGCGCCACUCGGCUUCAAGCGUAGUAAUUCUUCUCGCUUCGGAGACCCGGGUGCGUGCUAGCCAGCAACCCCCAACUUUCUUAGGUUGACCUCGGAUCAGGUAGGGAUACCCGCUGAACUUAAGCAUAUCAAUAAGCGGAGGA
RNAcentral lists this unclassified non-coding RNA (329 nucleotides) under soil metagenome. Its description in RNAcentral is "partial contains 5.8S ribosomal RNA, internal transcribed spacer 2, and large subunit ribosomal RNA". The stretch from base 1 to 120 matches the Rfam family "5.8S ribosomal RNA", at positions 35 to 154 of the family's 154-position model. The record is from RNAcentral.